RNAcentral lists this transfer RNA (65 nucleotides) under Ocypus ophthalmicus. Its description in RNAcentral is "tRNA-Phe". Lineage: Eukaryota; Metazoa; Arthropoda; Insecta; Coleoptera; Staphylinidae. The record is from RNAcentral.
AUUUAAAUAGCUUAUUUAGAGCAUAAUAUUGAAGAUAUUAAGGAAAUAAUUUUUAUUUUUAAAUA